RNAcentral lists this ribosomal RNA (395 nucleotides) under uncultured Methanosaeta sp. RNAcentral's name for it is "bacterial SSU rRNA". It matches the Rfam family "Archaeal small subunit ribosomal RNA", at positions 944 to 1338 of the family's 1478-position model. Lineage: Archaea; Methanobacteriati; Methanobacteriota; Methanomicrobia; Methanotrichales; Methanotrichaceae. The record is from RNAcentral.
CAUAUGAAGGUCAGGCUGAAGACCUUACCCGAUUAGCUGAGAGGUGGUGCAUGGCCGUCGUCAGUUCGUACUGUGAAGCAUCCUGUUAAGUCAGGCAACGAGCGAGACCCACGUCCACAGUUGCCAGCAUACCCUCCGGGGUGAUGGGUACACUGUGGAGACCGCCGCUGCUAAAGCGGAGGAAGGAGUAGGCAACGGUAGGUCAGUAUGCCCCGAAUCUCCCGGGCUACACGCGGGCUACAAUGGUUGGUACAAUGGGCAUCUACCCCGAAAGGGGAAGGAAAUCUCUUAAAGCCAAUCGUAGUUCGGAUUGAGGGCUGCAACUCGCCCUCAUGAAGCUGGAAUCCGUAGUAAUCGCGUUUCAACAGAACGCGGUGAAUACGUCCCUGCUCCUU